UACGUAGGUGACCAGCGUUGUCCGGAUUUACUGGGCGUAAAGAGCGCGCAGGCGGCUGGUCAAGUCCGAUGUGAAAUCUCCCGGCUCAACUGGGAAACUGCAUCGGAAACUGAUCGGCUUGAAGAUGGGAGAGGGUAGUGGAAUUCCCGGUGUAGUGGUGAAAUGCGUAGAUAUCGGGAGGAACACCAGUGGCGAAGGCGACUACCUGGCCCAUUCUUGACGCUGAGGCGCGAAAGCUAGGGGAGCGAACGGG
RNAcentral lists this ribosomal RNA (253 nucleotides) under uncultured bacterium. Its description in RNAcentral is "partial 16S ribosomal RNA". It matches the Rfam family "Bacterial small subunit ribosomal RNA", at positions 524 to 776 of the family's 1533-position model. The record is from RNAcentral.